CCUAGUUCAGAAGGUGGGUACUGGAGAAUUUUUUCUCAUAAGGGGUAGGUGUCGAGUGUGUGAGGGCGGCAGCAUUAGGUGAUAACGGUAGCAGUUCGAGGUCGGGGCCGGUCUGGGAGACGGAGUAAGAGGUAGGGACGAUUCGUAUGUUGGGGUAGAAAGAGGUCCGGCGGAGGUGGUGGUCGGAGCUCUCGGUCUGGGUUCGAGCAAGCCGAUUCUGUCGACGAGCUCGCUUAACUAUACCCUCCCGAUACGUCCAGCCGUCUCCAUCGCUGGCGGCGGCGCUAUGUGGCCGCGGCUCGGGUCUCUUGUUCUAAUACAACCCCGCGGUUAGAAGCAAGCUCUAUUUAGGAACGCCGAUCUCGAUAAGAAACCUUAAAGGAACCACGCGCGAUGCCGUGGACGCGCUGCCGCUCAUAGUAGGUCUAGUUACGCGAGGGGGGAUGUUCACCUUGAGGUGCUCAGCGUUGGCAGCCGAUAACUUGGAUUGGCGACUCUAAAAGAAGACCCCCGUCAGUAACAAACCAAGGUCCUCUCCCGAUCUCGCUUUCUCAUUGAUAUCGUUUGUUUUCACUACGGAGAUGAAGUAUUUUCCCACUCGGCACAGAGAUUCAGGCGAACCGACAUUAAAUAGGUACAAUAAAUGUGAAGUUACAGGCUGUGGAUAUCCCAGACUACUAAGUGCUGACCGGCUGACCGGGACAAUCUUAUUUUACGAUUACGUUCUAGUAUCUGCUGUGUGGCUCCGUACUAUAAACAAUUGCUCCAAGUGGCUAUACCG
Molecule: ribosomal RNA, 781 nt
Filed under: Triticum aestivum (bread wheat)
Lineage: Eukaryota; Viridiplantae; Streptophyta; Magnoliopsida; Poales; Poaceae
Description: partial small subunit ribosomal RNA
Source: RNAcentral